ACUCUUUCAGAGCCAAUCAGAAUGGAGAACUUAUCCUGAUUGGUGGAAUUGGAACCAUGGGAGAGCCCAUCAUAUGUUCUCUUGAACAUAUAACUGAGCACUGUCCCCCAAAAAGCUUCUUGGAGUUUCCUCCUUAAAUCCUUAAAGGAGGAAACCAUGGAAGCCUCCUCAAGAGGGACCAUGGGCUCGACCUCCGCUACUGAUCAUCUCUCUGCUCGUACUUCAUGCUGCACAGGUCAUCAGAGCUUGUAUGGGUGCCUCCCCCACCCCCUUCCUCCAAGUCAAACAGGAUUUCCGUGGGGUGGGACCUCAACCUCCCCCCUGUGGGUGCCAGGCAUCGUUACAAACGUUUGCGAAGGGGAUCUUUGGCCCAGUCGAUGACAUCAGUGCUUCUCACACAGCUAUUGGGGUGAAGCCCAGUGGGAAAUACAGUGCGCACAUCCAGAGGCAGACACCAGUGCAAGCUCCGUGUGUGUGUGUGUGUGUGUGUGUGUCUUCUAUUCUCACCGCCACAGCCUGCAGUGGGUUCUGAGAGAGACCCUCCUGCACCACUUCUACUACCGCAAUCAGGACCAUGUGGGCUUUGCCCCACUGAAGAGGCACAACUCUGGACCCAAGUCCCACUUGCCCUCUGGCAGUGCUGCUGAUGGUCAGAUGAUCUUGGA
This is a long non-coding RNA of Sardina pilchardus (European sardine), 665 nucleotides long. RefSeq lists it as uncharacterized. NCBI's taxonomy places the organism in Eukaryota, Metazoa, Chordata, Actinopteri, Clupeiformes, Clupeidae. The transcript is spliced from 4 exons. The record is from RefSeq and is a predicted model, not a curated record.